Molecule: long non-coding RNA, 664 nt
Organism: Papaver somniferum (opium poppy)
Lineage: Eukaryota; Viridiplantae; Streptophyta; Magnoliopsida; Ranunculales; Papaveraceae
Exons: 5
Source: RefSeq, a predicted model, not a curated record
CUUCCUUGUGUUGCUCUUUUGUAGACAAAGUGGUGCCCUGCGCCAGGCUGUGAUUUUGCUGUUGACUUUGUUGCUGGUAGUUCAAGCUUUGAUGUUUCUUGCAACUGCUCAUUUAGCUUUUGCUGGAACUGUACCGAGGAAGCGCAUCGACCAGUUGACAGUGUCACUAUUGCCAAGUGGAUCUUGAAGAAUUGUGCCGAGUCUGAAAAUAUGAAUUGGAUAUUAGCCAACUCUAAGCCUUGUCCAAAAUGCAAACGACCCAUUGAGAAAAAUCAGGGGUGUAUGCAUAUUACCUGCACACCUCCUUGUAAAUUCGAGUUUUGUUGGCUCUGCCUUGGUGCUUGGUCAGAUCACGGAGAAAGGACAUGAGGUUUUUAUGCGUGCAAUCGCUACGAGACAUCAAAGCAAGAGGGAUUGUAUGAUGAGGCGGAGAAGAGAAGAGAAAUGGCUAAAUUCUUUAGAGAGAUAUACACAUUACUACGAAAGAUGUGCGACUAACCAGUCGGUAAGUUUUGUAUAUCGGAUGAGAAAAUUGUAUUUUUGUACCUAAUGUUUUUGAUUUAAUCCUCUCGUAGGAUUUUAUCUUUCUUUUGGUUGUAUACAAAUUCUGUACUUAAGAAAAGAAAAGAAGAAAUGACUAGAUUUAGUACUGCUGUUUUAGAUU